UAAUAGUUCCAGCACUGCUCAAAGAUCGU
This 29-nucleotide non-coding RNA is filed under the name Mus musculus (house mouse). The record is from RNAcentral. Lineage: Eukaryota; Metazoa; Chordata; Mammalia; Rodentia; Muridae.